This 887-nucleotide ribosomal RNA is filed under the name uncultured bacterium. RNAcentral describes it as "bacterial SSU rRNA". It matches the Rfam family "Bacterial small subunit ribosomal RNA", at positions 1 to 917 of the family's 1533-position model. The record is from RNAcentral.
CACUAGUGAUUAGAGUUUGAUCCUGGCUCAGGGUGAACGCUGGCGGCGUGNCCUAAGACAUGCAAGUCGAACGGGCCUGAUUUCGGUCAGGCUAGUGGCGGACGGGUGAGUAACACGUGGGUGAUCUACCCCAAAGUCUGGGACAACUAGGGGAAACCUUAGCUAAUCCCGGAUGGUGAGGCUUCUCCUGUGAAGUCUCUAAAGAUUUAUCGCUUUGGGAUGAGCCCGCGGCGCAUCAGCUAGUUGGUGGGGUAAUGGCCUACCAAGGCGACGACGCGUAGCUGGUCUGAGAGGACGACCAGCCACAGGAGCACUGAGACACGGGCUCCACUCCUACGGGAGGCAGCAGUUAGGAAUCUUCGUCAAUGGGCGAAAGCCUGAACGAGCGACGCCGCUUGAGGGACGAAGCCCUUCGGGGUGUAAACCUCUGAACAGGGGACGAUGAUGACGGUACCCUGCUAAUAGCACCGGCUAACUCCGUGCCAGCAGCCGCGGUAAUACGGAGGGUGCGAGCGUUACCCGGAUUUACUGGGCGUAAAGGGCGUGUAGGCGGUUUUCUAAGUCCGGGGCUAAAGACCAGGGCUCAACCCUGGGUUUGCCUUGGAUACUGGAAAGCUCGACGGCUGGAGGGGGCAGCGGAAUUUCCGGAGUAGCGGUGAAAUGCGCAGAUACCGGAAGGAACGCCAAUAGCGAAGGCAGCUGCCUGGACAGUACGUGACGCUGAGGCGCGAAAGCGUGGGGAGCAAACCGGAUUAGAUACCCGGGUAGUCCACGCCCUAAACGAUGAGUGCUGGGUGUCCGGCGUUUGCCGGGUGCCGAAGCUAACGCGUUAAGCACUCCGCCUGGGAAGUACGGUCGCAAGACUGAAACUCAAAGGAAUUGACGGG